RNAcentral lists this ribosomal RNA (65 nucleotides) under uncultured bacterium. RNAcentral describes it as "partial 16S ribosomal RNA". The record is from RNAcentral.
GGGUGUACCUAAAGUCGGUAACCGACGAAGGACGCCCGCCGUAAGGUAAACUAGUAACUGGGGCU